GAUGAACGCUAGCUACAGGCUUAACACAUGCAAGUCGCGGGGCAGCAUGGGGGUUGCUUGCAAUCCCCGAUGGCGACCGGCGCACGGGUGAGUAACGCGUAUCCAACCUGCCCUUCACCACGGGAUAACCCGGCGAAAGUCGGACUAAUACCGUAUGUUGUCCAUUGACGGCAUCCGAUUUGGACGAAAGGCUUGGCGGUGAGGGAUGGGGAUGCGUCCGAUUAGCCAGACGGCGGGGUAACGGCCCACCGUGGCUACGAUCGGUAGGGGUUCUGAGAGGAAGGUCCCCCACACUGGAACUGAGACACGGUCCAGACUCCUACGGGAGGCAGCAGUGAGGAAGAUUGGUCAAUGGGCGUAAGCCUGAACCAGCCAAGUAGCGUGCAGGAGGACGGCCCUAUGGGUUGUAAACUGCUUUUAUGCGGGGAUAAAGUGGCCCACGUGUGGGCUUUUGCAGGUACCGCAUGAAUAAGGACCGGCUAAUUCCGUG
Molecule: ribosomal RNA, 490 nt
Filed under: uncultured bacterium
Lineage: Bacteria
Description: partial 16S ribosomal RNA
Rfam family: Bacterial small subunit ribosomal RNA
Source: RNAcentral